This 293-nucleotide long non-coding RNA is filed under the name Lathyrus oleraceus (garden pea). RNAcentral's name for it is "Pisum sativum (pea) long non-coding RNA (PSAT_LNC020149)". The record is from RNAcentral. Lineage: Eukaryota; Viridiplantae; Streptophyta; Magnoliopsida; Fabales; Fabaceae.
UCGGCAUGACUGUUGUAGUGUAAAAUUUAUGCAAAAAGAUAAGUUUGGGGGUGGUAAUCCUUAGAAGAAAUGUUGGAAAAAGGGCAAGUGCAAGAAAAAGAAAAAGAAAAACUGUGUAGAAACAUUUGCUUCUAUCGGAAAAAAAAAAGAAAAAAAAAGAAAAAAUAGAGAAAUGAAGAAUAAGCACUUGCCUUGGAGAUAGACUCACGCAUUAAUGUGAUAAAUCAAAGAAAAAUUCGAGUGAAAAAGAGUCAAAAUUGGACGACACCCAAUAAAAUAAUUCUUGCACAAAG